Melopsittacus undulatus (budgerigar) is the source of this 1792-nucleotide long non-coding RNA. RefSeq lists it as uncharacterized. The record is from RefSeq and is a predicted model, not a curated record. Lineage: Eukaryota; Metazoa; Chordata; Aves; Psittaciformes; Psittaculidae. The transcript has 2 exons.
GGUUACAGCUGUGAAACAGGAAUAGUUUUUUAACAGAAGUUUAAUGACUAGUUUCUGUGACAGCUACAACCUGCUAACUGCUAACCUGCUAAAGAUGAAAUAUAGUGAGUGGCACAGUGCUGGUUGGAUACUGAGCACACACAUGUUCCUAGGUAUGGAGUGGAAAUCAUUUUAACACAAUUUUGGUUUGAAUGUAAAAAUACAAGUAGCUCAGACUUGUACAUUGUGACAUAAACUGCUUUGAGACCCCAGCUUCUGUAAUUCAUUAAAAUUCUUUGACUCCACUUGCUUAGUAGAAGUUGGAGGGAAAACUUGUAAUUAUAUUUUAUUAACAAGUCUGCUUACUUUUCUCCAACUCUUCUAGCAUGUGAGACAAUGUAAUACAAAAUUAAAGUGUUGAAUGGCUAAAAUGCACCCCUCACCUUUUGGGGGGAGUGUAAAACUGUGAAGUUUGAGCAUCCAAGAUCUGUAAUUCUUCUCUGAGGUGAUUAAUGUUAUAAAAAGACAUUUUAAGACUUACUCAAUUCUUCUUCCUCCUGACAUCCUAGGUGUAACCAGUCUGAGUACUUCUGCACUAGUAUGACCAGCUAGCAUCUUGCUAUAGUAACAAAGAAAAGCAUGAAAAUGCCUUUUGGGACUGAAAGUUUAGCAUUGUGGUCACAGUGAAAAUGGAGCCAUUUGUGAGUAUUUAACCCUGUAGUGUUAAAACAGGUUAACUACUUACCAAGCAACAAUAACACUGUAAACUUGCAACUUGUGCCAAGGCCUAGAAGGAAGAAGACCAGAAGCAGCUGGUAAGCUAAAGUGACUUCACUGAGCAGCUGCUAAGGGAGAAGAACUGCAAAAAGGAAGCAUUGGGCUCCUAGGAAGAGGUAGUAGGUUGCAUAGUUUUAGGGCAGGGAUUUUGCUCACAAGGAGGUAACUAUACAACCUGCUGCCUUUCUUAGGGCUUUAUUAUAACACCAGGACUGUUCUGGCUCCACCCUAACCUCUGCAGCUUUGGUAUGUAAAGACAAGCUAUUUCUAAGCAUAUGAAACCACUAUUGUCAGCAGACUUGGUACCAAACUCAAGUGUAAUGCUGCUAGCUGGAAUUCAGUGUUUCCAGCUGCUGGGAAAUGCUGCUUUUGGGGGUGAUCCUGCCAUUUUGGAGACAUUGGAUUGUGAUAUCCAUAGGUUGUGAUAUGUUAAGAGGCUGUGUUUGGAAGUCACCUCCUUCUAGAAUAAGAUUUGAGUUCCCUGCAGUUGGGAUUGAGGUGGUAUGGACUUGUAAACUGAACAUUAAGGUACUAAUACUGUGUUCUUAAUCAGGUAGCUGAAUUAUAUCUUCCUUUGGCUUUGUGCAUUUCAAGUGACAAAAUUGAAGUUUUCCUUUCCCAGCAGGAUCAGCUUACAGCUUGCCUGAAACUGGUCAUUUUUCAGCAGGUACAGGCACUCCUAAUAAAAAAGCUCUUGGUCAUGGAUUAUUUGCAGCCUCACAGAAGGGAAGUUUUCAGUCAAAAUGAACAAUUGCAUGGCUUGUCUCAUGAAAUUAAUUAUAUGUUAAAAAGUACCGCUACAGCAAUAGUUCUGGUAGGGCUUCAGCAGGAUACCCUCUGCAAUGAGAUACAGAAACUUUAAGUGCUGAGCAUCUUGUAUGGAGUUAACCUUAUGCCUACACUGGCCACUAUUUAAACUUGACAAUGAGACAGAAUUGUAGGUUAUAAACAUGCUAAAUGUGCUUAUAUUGAACAUCCUGUAUGAAUUUAAUUGUAUGUGUUUGAUUUAGUUAAUAAAAUACAGUAUUCUAUGCAA